This is a long non-coding RNA of Syngnathus typhle (broad-nosed pipefish), 11420 nucleotides long. RefSeq lists it as uncharacterized. The transcript has 3 exons. Lineage: Eukaryota; Metazoa; Chordata; Actinopteri; Syngnathiformes; Syngnathidae. The record is from RefSeq and is a predicted model, not a curated record.
GAGGAGGAGACGCUGGAUACUAUCAAGCAGUACUAUGUGUUGUGCAACAGCAAGGAGGAAAAGUUUGAAGCCCUGUGCAACAUCUAUGGCGCCAUCACCAUAGCCCAGGCUAUGAUUUUCUGCCAUGUGAGGCACUUCCCUUCACCCAGCACUUUCCGAUUGAUAAUUAUAAAUGGCAUCACAUUUUCCUGAGAAAUGUUCCAGAGUUUAUUAAGAACGUCACAAGACUGGCGUCGCAUAAAUUCAUUAUGUUCCUUGAGUGUCUGGCUGGUAUAUGAACUGGUGACUCUGCUUUCCUUCAUGCGAUCCAGACAAGGAAGACCGCAGGCUGGCUGGCGGGAGAGCUUUCCAAAGAGAACCACCAGGUGGCGCUGCUUAGCGGGGAGAUGCAAGUAGAGCAGAAGGCAGCUGUCAUUGAACGCUUCCGGAAUGGAAAGGAGAAGGUGCUUGUCACCACAAAUGUCUGUGCCAGAGGUGAGGGACCCAUGCAAGAUAAUUAUGAAAUAUGUAGAUAUUUAACAAUUAUUUAGUCUUCCACUUCUCCCUAUCAAUUGCUUUUGUAAUAUUGUUUUAACAUGUAUUCUGACUGUCAACACCCUGUAUGCUAUUAGAGAAGAUACCGUAUGUAUUCUUCAUACAUUGAAAAUAUUAACGUCAAUUUCCCCUAUCACCUCUCGCCUUUUUUUUUCUUUUUUUUCUGUCCACCAGGAAUUGAUGUGGAGCAGGUAUCGGUGGUGAUCAAUUUUGACCUGCCUGUAGACCAGGAGGGUAACCCAGACAACGAGACCUACCUUCAUAGGAUUGGCCGCACGGGUCGGUUCGGCAAAAGGGGGCUGGCCAUCAACAUGGUGGACAGCAGAAUGAGUAUGAACAUUCUCAACAGGAUCCAGGAGCAUUUUAAUAAGAAAAUUGAAAAACUCGACACACACGAUCUGGAUGAAAUUGAGAAAAUCGCCAACUGAAAGACAAGUGUGCUGACAAAGUGGACGCCAGCUAGACUUGCGCUCUGCAAAGACUGUAUGCUUCUUUAUGCUGGCUUUUUAAGUUUGUAUUUUAAGCCGUUAGGGUGGAGGGGGUAAAACCACAUAUACUGCACGUUUACAUACACUUCAGUCUGUGGAACAUACCCUAUUUCACUCUUUUUACUAUAAUAUUUUAUUUUGUAAUGCUGAAAAAGCUUAACUGUCAAGUAACUCUUAAAACCCCAUUUGACUCUGCUUUUCAUACAUAUAUGAACAUUUUUCAUGAAUGUAUCCUCUUUAGGUCAUUACAACAUUGACAGUGUGUGGAAAGGGUGAAGUUGGGUAUACUGCUGCUCUGAGUGCAGGGGUGUCAUUUUGGGUGAUGACUGAUGGAUGGAUUUUAGGGUCUAUGCAAAUUUAGAGUAUACUCACAUGAAAGAAAUGAAAUUAACCUCAAUUUAUCUUCAGGGUGCGUAGCCAAAUGCCAAAAUGGAGAUGACCUACUAAUAACUCCUCAACAUUUUAGAUCAUUCUGGAGUAAAGCCCAGUCACGCGUCCCUCACAAUUUUAUUUAUAGAGUAUUAAGACUACUCAGCUGUAACAUGUAGUUGUUUUUAAACAUUUUUUGCCUACCUAUUCCACAACUUCCCACUUACCACAAACUUCACAUCUUUUAUUUUGAAAUUCAACCAAAAUUCUCUAAAAUUUCGUUUUUCUACUCUAAUUUCCACAUUUUUCAACCGAUUCAACCCAUUCCAACUUUCAAGUGUUCAUCUUUUGCCUACCUGUUCCACAUAUUCCCACUUACCAAAAAUUCCAAAUUUUCAAAUUUGAAAUUCAACCAAAUUCUCCAAAAUUUCGUUUUUCUACUCUAAUUUCUACAUUUUUCAACCGAUUCAACCCAUUCCAAAUGUAUUCACUUAAUUCACCUUAUGCUUCCCACAUUCACUCCCAUUCACCCCCACUUCCACUAUGCUUACACAAUUCAACCCUUGACCCCCAAUUCCAGUGUGGCGGCCAUCUUGGAUGACCCUGGAGUGCCACCAAUGAACCCAGAAUGAACCGGAAGUGCCCUAAAUCAAACCGAAAGUGACCCCAAAUAGACCGGAAGUGACCCCAAAUCAAACCGGAAGUGACCCCAAAUGUACCAGAAAUGACCUUUUUAGACCGGAAAUGACCCCAAAUAAACCGGAAGUGACCUCAGACGAACCGGAAGUGACCCAAAUUAAACCGAAAGUGACCUAAAUAAACCGAAAGUGACCCCUAAUAGACCGGAAGUGACCUCAGGUGAACCGAAAGUGACCCCAAAUGAACCGAAAGUGAACUUUUUUGACCGGAAGUGACCCCGAAUAAACCGGAAGUGACCUCAGCUAAACCGGAAGUGACCUGUAGUAAACCGGAAGUGUCCCAAAUAAACCGGAAGUGACCCAAAUUAGACCGAAAAUGACCCGAAUCAAGCCGGAAGUGAACUUAUUUCAACACUAAGUGCCCCAAAUAGCUACAUUUGCGCUAGGGUUUUCGGUUUUUGUCCGAUUUAACCCGUUUCAACAUUUUUACCCCAAAAGUGAACCUCCUGAGGCCGUUUUUUUUGUUUUGUUCCAAAUUUAGAAAGAUUUUGGCGCAAUUGCUUUUUUUUAUUUUCCCAUUCAUUCUCUCUAGAGGGAUUCAACAUUUGCUCUAACUUCUACAUUUUUUAACUGAUUCAACCCGUUCCAACUUUCCAACACGUGUGCAUGCACAAACACACACCCAGACACAUUAGAGCAGCAGGAACGGAGAGAAAGUAUUUGCACUGUUUGUGCUUGUGUGAAUGUGCUUGUGAGGACAUUGUUGUAUUUUCUGCGGUUAAUUAUUAUUAUGUGGGGACAAGCAGUACAGAAAAUGGAUGGAUGGAUGGAUAAUUAUGAUAUAAGUAUUAUCAUUAUAAAGUUACAUUGAUACUGCCUUGACAGUGUCCAUGAAAACAUUAUCAAACAUUAACUAGAAUUUGCAAUUCCUGAAGGAAUUGCGUGUGAAGGUGAAGAAGUUGAAUAAAUAUUUAAGGAAUGUUGCAGAAUGAUGUUGAAACGAGUUGAAUUGGUUGAAAAAUGUAGAAAUGAGAAGGGAAAAAGGAAAUAUUGUAGAAUCGGGUGUGAAUUUCAAAAUAAAAGAUGUGAAUUAUUUGGUAAGUUGUGGAAUAGGUAGAAAUAUGAUGAACAGUUGAAAGUUGGAAUGGGUUGAAUCGGUUGAAAAAUGUAGAAAUGAGAAGGGAAAAAGGAAUUGGGCGUGAAUUUCAAAAUAAAAGAUGUGAAAAAGGAAAUGUAGGAAAAUUGGGUGUGAAUUUCAUACUAGAAAAAGUGAAAAUGCAGGUAAGUGGGAAGUUGUGGAAUAGGUAGGAAAAUGAUGAACAGUUGAAAGUUGGAAUGGGUUGAAUGAGUUGGAAAAUGUAGAAAUGAGAGUAGAAAAACCAAAAUUUGGAGAAUUUUGUUGAAUUUCAAUUUUAAUUUGAACAAUGCAUUCAAUUAUGCAUCAACAUUCAUUCCUUCAUGCAUUCAUGCAUUCAUUCAUACAUUCAUUCAAGCAUUCAUCCAUGCAUUCAUUCACGCACUCAAUUUUUAUCACGUCACCCUGCACACGCGUGACAGUGAUGGCCAGCCCAUCUUGUGGUAUCUUCGGGGGCUGGCUGAAAGUUUUCUGCCAGAUCUGAAGCUUGAUGCUUGUAACUUCGCCCGAAUUGGACACGACCUCCACCACCUCUUCCCCAUAGAGGAUACCACAGACUGUUAGGGUGAGGCUGGAGUUGCAGGGCUGUUGAAUAAAAAAAGAAUAUCUAAUUAGUUUUUAUGAAUGGAAAACAAAGUUUACCAAAGGCUAAUCAUGCCUCCAAAUAAAGCAAGUGGGAGCAGUAAAGCCAUCCUAGAACACAAAGACGUUAUUAAAGCCACGCGACAGUGAGCGCCCGGCGCGCUGCGGGCGGUUGCGCGAUGGGACCAAAUUAAGCUCCCUGCGCACUGAGGUACACUUCAAUUUUGGAAAGUACAUUAGGACGGUACAAAUAUUUUCAAAAUUUCAGCGACAGCUCUGUCACAAUAAUGCGACCAGCGCGGAGCAGUUGCGCGGUCGGCAGCGCGCUACGGUUGAACGCUGGGCGGAACGCUGCAAUUGCGCGAUGGGACAAAAAUGAAGAAAUGAAGAAAAAAAAAUUGAAGAAAAGGAUUUAUUUAGUCUUGGAACGGAUUAAUUUGUUUUCCAUUGUUUGUAAUGAGAAAAAUAGAUUGGGAACCUUAACCCAGUUAAUCUUGGAAAAGGGGAUAAUAAGCAAAAAGCAAGCACCAUUUAAAUUCCACUGCUAUGAAGCCAUUUACUAACCUUUAUUUCUGUGCAAGUUGUAGAGUGGAGCAUUAGUCCCGAAUCGUUCACCCGGGCACUCAGGUGGGUGAAAAUGAAGGAACCCCCUACUUUUAGUUCAAUGAGAUUAGCCUCACGCCAAAGGCCAAUUUUGACAGCGGCUUCAUCCUGCGUUAGUUUAAAAAAGAGUAUGUGUGCAAAGUGCUACAACAGGGGAAGUACAAAUGGCUACUUACUUUUUUUAGUGUCAAAGUCCGAAAUGGCGCAAGGCUGUUCCCUCUCUGGCGCACCAUGCGGAUUGGACGCAUCUGAAGUGGAGCAAAUUGAGAUGACAAAAAAAAAUAAAACUUUUGGUACCUUAGUACUAAACAGAGCAUUUCAAAGAUAUUGUGUGUGUGUGUUUGUGUGUGUGUGUCGGUGGGUACAUUACAUGUACAUUAUUGCACAUGCAUCAUGUCUUCACAGGUGUACACAAAGACAUGUGUGUAUAUGUGCAUUUGCGGGUGCAGGUGACUUACAUCGGUUAUUACGCCCUCCAGUGACACCAUCUCCUCAGGUAGUUUAUUCACUACCUCCUGAGGAGAUGAUGCCACUGACUUGGGGUAGACCAGGGCCCUGGCCUCUUCUUCCAGCUGCGGGCUGGUUUGCACCUCGGCCGCCAUGAAUAUUUUUGAGCCGGGUUUGGUGAGGAGCCCUUGGCCACUCUCGUCCACACCAAAGUUUAAAAAAAUGUAACUGCUGCCAAGUGUUCAAACAGAACAAUUUUAUAGGCUUUCUCGUCGUCACAGAGGGCAACAGUUACAUUAUUGUGCUGGCCGUGCAUGGACAAGGUGCCAUCAGCUGCACAAAUCCAUGUUUUUGCACGCAGAGCAGUCCUCAUCGCGACUACUUUAGCGCGGAUCAUGUUUUUCGCCAUUCUGAAAAAGAAAAAAAAGAGAGAAAUUGACUUGUUUAGUUAGUAGAUGACAAAUGGCAAAUUAUUCAUAGAAUAAUUACUAUUAUAAUACAUCUGACUGACUUUGGGAUUAUUUUAUUAGCGACACAACAUAUCAUUACCAUAUUCAAAUUGGAUAAAAAUAAAUGGAUACCACGUAUAAUAAAAAAACACACAAUUAUUUAAAUGUUAGACUGAAAAGAGUUUCCCAGCAAUGAUUUUUAACAUCCACCAGAUGGCAGUGCAGUGACAAAGUCAAUAGUUCAUGGGUAUGUAGCAUUUCAAGACUGCUACAAAUUAACACUGGGCAAUGAUUCAAUACUACUGAUCUUACUCGGUCAGUACAUAUCAGUGCUUACAGUUACAAUGUCAUCUGCUAUAUAAAUUUGGAAGCACAUUUUAUAAUGGCGCCUGUGCGGUUUUUGAGGGGGGCUAACCUAAAACAAAGAUUUUAAUAAAAGAACACCGUAAACCAUUUUUAUCCAUUUACGUGUGGCGACUACGAGGUGUCGUCUGAAAUAAAUGAAUUACGCGUCGUGUAUCUUUCCAGAAAUGUCGUUACUCCGUAACGCAAAGUGCAAGCAUCGUGCGUCCAUCUUGUUAGAUGGCAAAUGCACACGGCGGACGAUAGUGUAUAAUACUUAAACGCAAGAGCAAUAAAAUGGGGAAUCCUCCGUCAUAAAUAGGAACGCAGAACAAACAUGUAUUUUCGACUGACUAGUUAAUUAAUAAUUACAAGUUAAUUUGCUAUAUGCGCAUUUCGUAAUGGCGGCUUUUUUUUUUUUUUUUGCUCGACGCAAACCAAAGAUGUGGAUGCCUCGGUCACGAAUAAUGUUCACGUUCAUCAACCGAUGGAAUUAAUCCAUACUAAAUUCACGGAGAAACAACUCCGCAAAAGUCCGUCGUGAGAACAGGAGACUAUUUUUAUCUAUAUGUACAGUUAAUGAGUAAUAACAUGUAAUAGUACAGUAAUAGAACUGUGACGAUGGUAAUUAGAAGUGGGGAAGUGCUACUUUCCCCACUAACGCAACAAUCCUGGUUUCGUUUCGUUUAUUUAUUUCAAACAUGUAAAAAAAGAAGAAUAAGCUUAUUGUACACAAUAAAGGACAUGACAAAAUACAUGCAUAUCCACAUACAGACGUACCAACAUUCAUACAUAUACAUAUAGCCGCAAAAGAACCAUAAGUCACAUUCACAUGUCUGAAAAGGAGUAGGAAGAAGUAUAAUUUAUUUAAUCCCACCCCCUAUUUAAUAAUCCCUAAAUACCCAGCCAUAAAUCAUUUUGCCUCAGUUAUCCCAACAAAGUACUAAAUUACUAAAUUAUCCCCCACCUGCUGCUCACUAGACACUAAACAUGUACCAACACACUAUUAAUACGUGCGUAUAUUUCACACACAGACACUUAACAUUCAUUCAUACCUCAAAUACAACACAAAUACCUGAAUGGUAGAAAUAAACCAAAUAAAAACAAAAUAAAAACAGCCUGAACAAGACAAACAGACAAACAAAACCAACAAAGAAACGUAAAUCAAUAAUUACUAAUCACCCCUUAGUACUCAUACACCCUCAUUCCUGUACCUUGUAAAAAUAAUUUCUUCUUUAUAUCUUUUUUUAAACUGAUAGAUGUUUGAACAUUCCCUGAGCGUUUCCUCCAAAGUAUUCCAUAAUUUAACUCCACAUAUUGCAAUACAGAAUGUUCUUUUUGUUGUACGUGCCUUCCUAAUCCUGUAAUUAAAUGUCCCCCUUAAUUUAUAACCCCCUUCCCUCCCAAUGAAAAGAUUCUGAAUAUUAGUUGGCAACAGAUUAUUUUUUGCUUUAAAAAGUAUUUGUGCUGUCCGAAAUUCCACUAUAUCUUUGAGUUUGAUGAGUUUUGACUUUAAGAAUAAUGAAUUUGUAUGAUCCCUGUAUCCUGCCCCAUGAAUGAUCCGUAUUGCUUUUUUUUGUAAAAUAAUAAGUGGAUAUAUUGUGCUUAUAUAAUUAUUACCCCAGAUUUCUACACAAUACAUAAAAUAUGGAAGGACUAAUGUAUUAUAAAGGAUGCGAAGUGUUGUAUGAUCCAGAACCUGUUUUGCUCUAUUUAAUACUGCGAUGCACCUUGAGAUUUUAGUUUGUACAUGUUUAACUUGUGAUUUCCAACUGAUCUUAUCAUCUAUUAUCACCCCUAAAAAUUUAAUCUCAUUCACUCUUUCAAUAUUAACCCCAUCCAGCUUUAUCUCUAUUUUCAAAUUAGUUCUGUGAUUACCAAAAAGUAUUACUCUUGUUUUGCUUAGGUUUAAGGAUAAUUUAUUGCUGUCCAACCAUACCUUUAAUUUGCUUAAUUCAUUAUUUAUUAGUGUUGUUAAGGUGUGUAAAUCACUACCAAAACAAAAAAUAUUUGUAUCAUCUGCAAACAAAACCAUCUUCAAAUUAUGUGAUACCUUGCAUAUAUCAUUUAUAUAUAAUAAAAAAAGUUUAGGGCCCAACACUGACCCCUGAGGGACGCCACAACUAAUGUCCAAACACGUUGAACAAGUGUCACCCAACUUCACAAACUGUUUCCUUUUUGUUAAAUAGCUCUUGAUCCAAGCUAAUGGUUCCCCCCUGAUGCCAUACCGAUGUAAUUUAUUGAAUAAUAUUUCAUGAUUUAUUGUGUCAAAUGCCUUUCUUAGAUCAAUGAAUAUCCCAACUGUAUAUUGUUUUAGGUCUAUUGCUUUAGUAAUUUCCUCCACUGUGUCAAUUAUUGCCAGUGAUGUUGCUCUGUUGGAUCUAAACCCAUAUUGACUGUCAGUGAGUAUUUUAUGUUUAUCUAUAAAUUUGUCCAGUCGGUUAUUGAAAAGUUUUUCCAGUAUUUUAGAAAAUUGUGAUAAUAAUGAUACAGGUCUGUAGUUUGUGAAGUGGUGUUUGUUCCCGGUUUUAUACAAAGGUAUGAUUUUUGCUAUUUUCAUUUUAUCUGGAAAUACACCGGUCUGAAAUGAUAGGUUACAGAUGUAUGUUAAUGGUUUAGAGACCCCCUCAAUUACUCGUUUUACGAUACUCAUGUAAAUGUCAUCACAGUCUUUGGAUGUCUUGUUUGUGCAUUGGAAAACUAUCUUUAUAAUUUCUUUCUCAUCCGCUGCUUUGAGGAACAUUGAGCUCAGAUUCCUAUCUAUUAAACUAUUACAUUGCUCCUCAGUUGUUACUGCAUCUGGGAUUUGUUUGGCCAGAUCAGGUCCCGUAUUUACAAAGAAUGCAUUGAAGUUUUCAGCCACUUCUUGCAUAUCAUGCUCAUCAGUAUUCCUGAUAGUAAAAUAUUUAGGAUAAUUAAUUUUUUUAGAGCCAUUUUUUAUUACAGUAUUCAUUAUAUUCCAUAUUUCUUUGGUGUUGUUUUUAUUAUCAUUUAUUAUCUUACUAUAGUAUUCUUUUCUAGCAGCUCUUUUAAUAUUAGUUAGUUUAUUCUUAUAUUGUUUAUAUUUAUUUUCUGCCACUUUAGUUCUUUGUCUUAUAAAUUCUCUGUAAAGUGUAUUUUUCUUUUUACAGGCAUUUUGUAAGCCCUUUGUAAUCCAGGGAUGAUCUACAUACUUUCGUUUCCUAUUAUAUACUUUUACAGGGCAGUAUUUGUCAUAUAACCUUUUGAAAAUUUUUAAGAAUUCCUCAUAUGCACAGUUAAUAUUAUUUUCAUUGUAUAUAAUAUCCCAAUUCUGUGACAUUAAACCAUUUUUAAAUGCGUUUAUUGUUUUUUCUGUUUUAAUUCUUCUGUAUUCUUGUUUUUUGGCCAGUUGGAUGGUUUUAUAGUUGUCAUCAAAAAUCAUAAAAACUGGCAAAUGGUCACUGAUGUCGCUGACUAAUAACCCACUUAUGGUGUUGUUUAAAAUGUCAUUUGUGAAUAUAUUAUCAAUAAGAGUGGCACAGUGAGAAGUUAUUCUGGUUGGUCUAGUGAUUUUUGGAUACAAGUUCAUGCUAUAUAUUGUGUUAACAAAGUGUUCGGUCAGUUUGUGCUUGUUUGGAUUGAGUAAAUCAAUGUUGAAGUCUCCACAGAUGAAAAUUGUUUUGCAACUGACCUUUGAAAAUACCUCCUCCAUCCAUUCUGUGAACAGUUCAAUGCUGGAACCUGGUGUCCGAUAUAUACAGCUAAUGAUUACAUUUUUCUUUUUUUCCUUAAGUAUUUCAAUUGUUAUGCAUUCCAAUAUGUUGUUAACUACCAUUGACAUAUCCUGUAUCACCCUGACGUUUAAUGUCUUUUCCACAUAUAUUGCAACUCCUCCUCCACCUUUGUUUUGUCGAUCUAUGUGUAUAAAGUCAUAUCCCUCCAGCUCAAAGUCCGCCUCUUUUACUGCGUUGAUCCAUGUUUCCGUUAUUGCAAUAAUGUUGAAUGGGCGAGUAAACUGAUGAAGAUAAUCCUUAAUGUUUGUAAAGUUGGCAUACAGACUCCUACUGUUAAUAUGUAUAAUAGACAGUCUACUAUCUGUAUUGAUUCUAUUAAAUUCCUCAUUAGUAUGAUAACUGCAGUUAUUGUUGAUUGAGUUAAAGAAGUUGUUAUCCGGGUCUAUAUCAUGUUCUAUAUCCAGUGAACUGUGAUCAGUGUAUUGAAAUGAUUGGAGUUCCAGUUUGUCGUGUUCACUAAUCCUCUGUGUUAUGUUACUGAUGUCUUCAGGUGUAGAUGCUUGAUUUCUUUCGAUGCGUGUCAUGGUUGUGAGUAGAGUUUACCUUACAGUCCUGCAUGAUGAUCAUUGGUAUCUAUCCAGCUCCUCGAUACUCCUUACCAUCAGCACUUUUGCUUCCUCCGGUGAUCCAUUGAGCUUGAUAAAUAUUUUACAGUUUGUAGUCCAGGUAUGUUGAAUUUUUUCUGCUUCCUCAGGUAGCGUGCUUUUUUGGCAAUAUCAGCGUUGUGCUUGGUCAGGUGCUCAUUGAUGUAGACGUCGGUUCCUCUCAGCUUUCUUCCUUGUUUUAAUACUGCAAUCUUGUGCUUUCUGUUGACAAACCGCAUGAUGACAGCGGGUUUGUCUCCGGGACUCCUCUUGGGCAGAGGGUGGCAAGCUUCGAUGUUGUCGCAGUCCAGCUGUAUCCCCUUGGACUGCAGGAAAGUAGCCACCUGUUGCUCCGUAGAGCUAACAUCCAGAUCGUCGGGCUCACCUCCCUCGCCAGCGGCCACUGCCCGGGCGUAUGAUCGGGCUUUGAUAUUAACUCCGGAGAUGAUCACGUCGUUGAUUCUGGUGUAUUGCUCCAGGUCAGCAACCCUGCUUUCCAGGAAGGUGAUUUUCUUUUCGUUCUCCUCAUUCCGACUGCGGAGAGCUUUGACCUCCUCGACCAGCUUGAGGAUAGCUUUCUGCUCCAUCCUGAUAACCGAGACUUCUUCAGUGAGGAAGUCCAACGCCUUUUUAAUAUCUUCGGUCUCCUCCACCGAAAAGAGGGGAACCGCUGACGCCUUCUUCGGACCCAUGUUUGGAACGCGCUUGUUGGUUUUUUUUAGCAAUGAAGCCGUGUGUUGUAGCUUUCGCGGCUAGUUGUGCACUUCCCCUCUGAAACAAGCGAUGCUGCUCCGGUGUACUCACAAGUCUUUCGCGCUUUGCCUUGCCGAUUUCAAGUCGGGCUUGAUAACUUUUCAGACAGUUUUGUCAGUGUUAGAAGAACGAAGGUUGUCGAUGAAACUGAUCUGUCAGUUGAACGAGCUGUCACUCCAACCUCGAGCUGAAACACACAGCACACCUGGCGAAACUCCCCUGGUUAAAAUGUCGGCGCGAAAGGUGUGUGCGAAGUCUGAAAAGGCAGGGUAAGUUUUAGUCGUAGCGUCAAAACUUUAUUACACACAGAAGAAAAACACUGAGAGCGGAACACAUCGCUCUAAAUUCGUGUGAAAUAUGAUUACACAAUUGAGUGAACAUGUGCAUGUUUAUAUUUACGUGAACUGAACGCUUUUAGAUCCCCCCCCCUUAAAACGUGAAAAAUGGUAGCGUCCACUUUAAGUAAAGACAGAAAAAGACGUCCCUGUAAAAUCACGCGAUACGUGACGAUACGAUUGAGUGGCGAUAUUUCAGUAUAUUUAAAAUAUGAUCAUGAUAGUAAUAAAAUAGCCUUACAGUAAUGGUAAUAACUAUAAUCGCCACGGUUUAUGAGGUUUCCGAUUUGUUUUCAAAGUAUUUCAAUGCAACGUGAUCAGUACAAUCGCGAAGAUAAAAUAAUGGACACUAUAUCAACUUAUAGAAUGUACAUACAAGACAACAUACAUACAAGACAACAUAACA